Molecule: ribosomal RNA, 480 nt
Filed under: uncultured bacterium
Lineage: Bacteria
Description: partial 16S ribosomal RNA
Rfam family: Bacterial small subunit ribosomal RNA
Source: RNAcentral
GACGAACGCUGGCGGCGUGCUUAACACAUGCAAGUCGAACGAUGAAGAAAAGACUUGAAGCUUCGGCAGACAUUCAUUUCGGAUUAGUGGCAGACGGGUGAGUAACGCGUGAGCAACCUACCUCUUACAAAGGGAUAGCCUCGGGAAACCGGGAUUAAUACCAUAUAACAUUGCGACGAAGCAUUUCGAUGCAAUCAAAGCUACGGCGGUAAGAGAUGGGCUCGCGUCCCAUUAACCAGAUGGUGAGGUAACGGCUCACCAUAGUAACGAUGGGUAACCGGCCUGAGAGGGUGAACGGUCACACUGGAACUGAGACACGGUCCAGACUCCUACGGGAGGCAGCAGUGGGGAAUAUUGCACAAUGGAGGGAACUCUGAUGCAGCGACGCCGCGUGAGUGAUGAAGGAAUUCGUUUCGUAAAACUCUGUUCUAUGGGAAGAAAAGGACUGUACCAUAGGAGAAAGCUCCGGCUAAAUACGUG